Molecule: ribosomal RNA, 484 nt
Filed under: uncultured bacterium
Lineage: Bacteria
Description: partial 16S ribosomal RNA
Rfam family: Bacterial small subunit ribosomal RNA
Source: RNAcentral
AUUGAACGCUGGCGGCAUGCUUUACACAUGCAAGUCGAACGGCAGCGCGGGCUUCGGCCUGGCGGCGAGUGGCGAACGGGUGAGUAAUGCAUCGGAAAGUGCCCAGUAGUGGGGGAUAGCCCGGCGAAAGCCGGAUUAAUACCGCAUACGACCUGAGGGUGAAAGCGGGGGACCGAAAGGCCUCGCGCUCUUGGAGCGGCCGAUGUCGGAUUAGCUAGUUGGUGGGGUAAAGGCUUACCAAGGCGACGAUCCGUAGCUGGUCUGAGAGGACGACCAGCCACACUGGGACUGAGACACGGCCCAGACUCCUACGGGAGGCAGCAGUGGGGAAUUUUGGACAAUGGGGGCAACCCUGAUCCAGCCAUGCCGCGUGCGGGAAGAAGGCCUUCGGGUUGUAAACCGCUUUUGUUCGGGAAGAAAUCCUCUGGGCUAAUACCCCGGGGGGAUGACGGUACCGGAAGAAUAAGCACCGGCUAACUACGUG